UCAAAUGAAAUCAUGAAUUGGUUCCCGGUAGUGAGGGGUCAGUUUUGAUAGUGUUGGUAGUGCUCCUAGUCUUUAGGAAGAGAUAGUUUCUCCAAUAUCCUUUAAGUAGAAGACUAAGUUCCAAAUAUAGGGAGGAGAGAAAAAGGAGAAAGAUGGGACGUAAAAAAUAGUAUUGUACAUUGUCACAUACAAACGGGUACAUCGAGAUUGGAGGAAAAGGAAUUUGAAUGCUAAAAGGGCACAACCAACAAAGCAAGCAGUAAACAAAGGCACCAGUACAUCAAUUAGGAGACAUCCUAAACCGUACAGAUUCUUAGUAGCUACCGCGAGACCACCAUGAAGUGUCAGAAAACCUUGUCGGCGUAGUGACCGAAGAAGAAGAAGAAGAAGGAGUUAUCUUCGGCGAGUUAUUCGUCCCGCGACGGGACCACCUUCCUCAUCAUACGGCCAGCCAGAACCGCGACACCUUCAUCUAAACCGCGUCCAAGCAGUGACGCAUUCAUCUUCACCGAGAAAGCCACGAGUGGCGGGGCUGUUAUCGCUAAACAGUGGUGAGGUGAUCGGGUUUUCCGAAUCCGUGAACCUAGGGUCACCACCGUGAAAGGUGAUGUGCCUUCCACCAGUUCCAGCCGCUAGACCAUGCUCCGGUGACCCACAAUACCUCUGGAUGGCCACCAUAGAAGAAGGAAGAGAGCCUCAUAACCCUGCUAUUUCGUUCCGUCGUGCCAUCACCGUGAAAGUCGCUGGUCGUCGCUGAGAUUGGUGUUGUAUUUAGGGAUUUCAUUCCCUUUAGUAGUUGAAGCCAUCGAGGGUAACACGGUUACCCCUUUCUUUUUAAUGCUUAUUUCAUUCUCUAUUUUUUAGUUUUCUUCAUUUAGUUUAUUUGUUGCAAUUUCUUUUUAAUUUAUUUUCAUGGC
This 917-nucleotide long non-coding RNA is filed under the name Lupinus angustifolius (narrow-leaved blue lupine). RNAcentral describes it as "long non-coding RNA (LANG_LNC000272)". Lineage: Eukaryota; Viridiplantae; Streptophyta; Magnoliopsida; Fabales; Fabaceae. The record is from RNAcentral.